This 78-nucleotide transfer RNA is filed under the name Bacillus phage Belinda. Its description in RNAcentral is "tRNA-Asn". It matches the Rfam family "tRNA". Rfam says of the family: Transfer RNA (tRNA) molecules are approximately 80 nucleotides in length. Their secondary structure includes four short double-helical elements and three loops (D, anti-codon, and T loops). Lineage: Duplodnaviria; Heunggongvirae; Uroviricota; Caudoviricetes; Herelleviridae. The record is from RNAcentral. RNAcentral also lists the same sequence under 5 other names.
UGUGCUUGUAGCUCAGUCGGUAGAGCUGGUGGCUGUUAACCACUGUGUCGUAGGUUCGAUUCCUACCUAGCACGCUUA